This 769-nucleotide ribosomal RNA is filed under the name uncultured bacterium. Its description in RNAcentral is "bacterial SSU rRNA". It matches the Rfam family "Bacterial small subunit ribosomal RNA", at positions 8 to 796 of the family's 1533-position model. The record is from RNAcentral.
AGAGUUUGAUCCUGGCUCAGGAUGAACGCUGGCGGCGUACCUAACGCAUGCAAGUCGAACGGGGAGGUUUUAGCAAUAGAACUUUCUAGUGGCAAACGGGUGAGUAACACGUAGGGAUCUACCUUGAAGUGGGGAACAACGGACCGAAAGGUUCGCUAAUACCGCAUGGGGUCGCGAGACCAAAGGGGAAUGCUAACACAUUCUUCGCUUUGAGAGGAGCCUGCGUUCGAUCAGGUAGUUGGUGAGGUAACGGCUCACCAAGCCGAUGACCGAUAGCUGUUCUGAGAGGAAGAUCAGCCACACUGGGACUGUGACACGGCCCAGACUCCUACGGGAGGCAGCAGCGAGGAAUAUUGCACAAUGGACGCAAGUCUGAUGCAGUAACGCCGCGUGGGGGAAGAAGACCUUCGGGUUGUAAACCUCUUUUAUAUAGGACGAGUGAGGACGGUACUAUAGGAAUAAGUCUCGGCUAACUACGUGCCAGCAGCCGCGGUAAGACGUAGGAGGCGAGCGUUAUCCGGAUUCACUGGGCGUAAAGCGCAUGUAGGCGGUUGUGUAAGUCCGCUGUUAAAGCCCCCGGCUCAACUGGGGGAGGUCAGUGGAGACUACAGGACUUGAGGGCAACAGAGGCACGUGGAACUCCCGGUGUAGCGGUGGAAUGCGUAGAGAUCGGGAAGAACACCAGUGGCGAAGGCGACGUGCUGGGUUGCGACUGACGCUGAGAUGCGAAAGUGUGGGGAGCAAACGGGAUUAGAUACCCUGGUAGUCC